Molecule: ribosomal RNA, 585 nt
Filed under: Bacillus sp. PASCS18
Lineage: Bacteria; Bacillati; Bacillota; Bacilli; Caryophanales; Bacillaceae
Description: bacterial SSU rRNA
Rfam family: Bacterial small subunit ribosomal RNA
Source: RNAcentral
UGAGACUGGGAUAACUUCGGGAAACCGGAGCUAAUACCGGAUAAUAUAAGGAACCUCCUGGUUCCUUAUUGAAAGAUGGUUUCGGCUAUCACUUAAGGAUGGGCCCGCGGCGCAUUAGCUAGUUGGUGAGGUAACGGCUCACCAAGGCGACGAUGCGUAGCCGACCUGAGAGGGUGAUCGGCCACACUGGGACUGAGACACGGCCCAGACUCCUACGGGAGGCAGCAGUAGGGAAUCUUCCACAAUGGACGAAAGUCUGAUGGAGCAACGCCGCGUGAGUGAUGAAGGCCUUCGGGUCGUAAAGCUCUGUUGUUAGGGAAGAACAAGUGCGAGAGUAACUGCUCGCACCUUGACGGUACCUAACCAGAAAGCCACGGCUAACUACGUGCCAGCAGCCGCGGUAAUACGUAGGUGGCAAGCGUUAUGGGGAAAAAUUGGGCGUAAAGCGCGCGCAGGUGGUUUCUUAAGUCUGAUGUGAAAGCCCACGGCUCAACCGUGGACCGUCAUUGGAAACUGGGGAACUUGAGUGCAGAAGAGGAUUGUGGAAUUCCAAGUGUAGCGGUGAAAUGCGUAGAGAUUUGGAGG